GUGGCAGCCGCCGCGGUAAUACGUAGGGUGCAAGCGUUAAUCGGAAUUACUGGGCGUAAAGCGUGCGCAGGCGGUUUGUUAAGAUAGGCGUGAAAUCCCCGGGCUCAACCUGGGAACUGCGUUUAUGACUGGCAGGCUCGAGUAUGGCAGAGGGGGGUGGAAUUCCACGUGUAGCAGUGAAAUGCGUAGAGAUGUGGAGGAACACCGAUGGCGAAGGCAGCCCCUUGGGUUAACACUGACGCUCAUGUACGAAAGCGUGGGGAGAAAACAGGAUUAAAUACCCUGGUAGUCUACGCCAUAA
Molecule: ribosomal RNA, 301 nt
Filed under: uncultured bacterium
Lineage: Bacteria
Description: bacterial SSU rRNA
Rfam family: Bacterial small subunit ribosomal RNA
Source: RNAcentral